UUCUUUUCCCCUCUUGUUUUCUUGUUGUCUUUUCUUGACCAGCCUUUUGUGAAUGCUGGGGAUUUUAUUGCUUCCUGCUGGAGAUUCCUGUUGUAUUCCUCUGCUUCAUUGAUUCUAAGUGUGCUCCUUUCUCAUAUGAGUGGGCUUCUGACUUCAAUACUUCAAUUGUAUUCCCUUAUUCUCCAGGUGGACGCCUGAUUUCUAUUUUUCUUUGUCCUUGUUCUCCAGGUGGACGCCUGAUUUCUUUCUUCCUUUGUCCUUAUUCUCCAGGUGGACGCCUGAUUUCUAUUUUUCUUUGUCCUCGUUCUCCAGGUGGACG
Molecule: long non-coding RNA, 319 nt
Filed under: Nicotiana tabacum (common tobacco)
Lineage: Eukaryota; Viridiplantae; Streptophyta; Magnoliopsida; Solanales; Solanaceae
Description: long non-coding RNA (NTAB_LNC004672)
Source: RNAcentral